RNAcentral lists this ribosomal RNA (730 nucleotides) under uncultured Pseudomonadales bacterium. RNAcentral describes it as "bacterial SSU rRNA". It matches the Rfam family "Bacterial small subunit ribosomal RNA", at positions 45 to 770 of the family's 1533-position model. Lineage: Bacteria; Pseudomonadati; Pseudomonadota; Gammaproteobacteria; Pseudomonadales. The record is from RNAcentral.
GGCCUAACACAUGCAAGUCGAGCGGAUGAGAAGAGCUUGCUCUUCGAUUCAGCGGCGGACGGGUGAGUAAUGCCUAGGAAUCUGCCUGGUAGUGGGGGACAACGUUUCGAAAGGAACGCUAAUACCGCAUACGUCCUACGGGAGAAAGCAGGGGACCUUCGGGCCUUGCGCUAUCAGAUGAGCCUAGGUCGGAUUAGCUAGUUGGUGAGGUAAUGGCUCACCAAGGCGACGAUCCGUAACUGGUCUGAGAGGAUGAUCAGUCACACUGGAACUGAGACACGGUCCAGACUCCUACGGGAGGCAGCAGUGGGGAAUAUUGGACAAUGGGCGAAAGCCUGAUCCAGCCAUGCCGCGUGUGUGAAGAAGGUCUUCGGAUUGUAAAGCACUUUAAGUUGGGAGGAAGGGCAUUAACCUAAUACGUUAGUGUUUUGACGUUACCGACAGAAUAAGCACCGGCUAACUCUGUGCCAGCAGCCGCGGUAAUACAGAGGGUGCAAGCGUUAAUCGGAAUUACUGGGCGUAAAGCGCGCGUAGGUGGUUUGUUAAGUUGAAUGUGAAAGCCCCGGGCUCAACCUGGGAACUGCAUCCAAAACUGGCAAGCUAGAGUACGGUAGAGGGUGGUGGAAUUUCCUGUGUAGCGGUGAAAUGCGUAGAUAUAGGAAGGAACACCAGUGGCGAAGGCGACCACCUGGACUGAUACUGACACUGAGGUGCGAAAGCGUGGGGAGCA